Molecule: ribosomal RNA, 506 nt
Filed under: uncultured bacterium
Lineage: Bacteria
Description: partial 16S ribosomal RNA
Rfam family: Bacterial small subunit ribosomal RNA
Source: RNAcentral
AUUGAACGCUGGCGGCAGGCCUAACACAUGCAAGUCGGACGGUAGCACAGAGGAGCUUGCUCCUCGGGUGACGAGUGGCGGACGGGUGAGUAAUGUCUGGGGAUCUGCCCGAUAGAGGGGGAUAACCACUGGAAACGGUGGCUAAUACCGCAUAACGUCGCAAGACCAAAGAGGGGGACCUUCGGGCCUCUCACUAUCGGAUGAACCCAGAUGGGAUUAGCUAGUAGGCGGGGUAACGGCCCACCUAGGCGACGAUCCCUAGCUGGUCUGAGAGGAUGACCAGCCACACUGGAACUGAGACACGGUCCAGACUCCUACGGGAGGCAGCAGUGGGGAAUAUUGCCCAAUGGGCGCAAGCCUGAUGCAGCCAUGCCGCGUGUAUGAAGAAGGCCUUCGGGUUGUAAAGUACUUUCAGCGGGGAGGAAGGCGAUGUGGUUAAUAACCGCGUCGAUUGACGUUACCCGCAGAAGAAGCACCGGCUAACUCCGUGCCAGCCGCCGCAGUAA